This 426-nucleotide ribosomal RNA is filed under the name uncultured bacterium. RNAcentral describes it as "bacterial SSU rRNA". It matches the Rfam family "Bacterial small subunit ribosomal RNA", at positions 356 to 773 of the family's 1533-position model. The record is from RNAcentral.
AGGGAAUUUUCCGCAAUGGGCGAAAGCCUGACGGAGCAACGCCGCGUGAGUGAGGACGGCCUUCGGGUUGUAAAACUCUGUUCUUGAGGAAGAAUUCCUUCCAGGCGAACAGCCUGGAAGGUUGACGGUACUCAAGGAGAAAGCCCCGGCUAACUACGUGCCAGCAGCCGCGGUAAUACGUAGGGGGCGAGCGUUAUCCGGAAUUAUUGGGCGUAAAGCGCGCGCAGGCGGCUGAUUAAGUCAGGUGUGAAAGGCUGCGGCUCAACCGCAGAGCGGCACCUGAAACUGGUAAGCUUGAGUGCAGGAGAGGGGAGCGGAAUUCCCGGUGUAGCGGUGGAAUGCGUAGAGAUCGGGAGGAACACCAGUGGCGAAGGCGGCUCUCUGGCCUGUAACUGACGCUGAGGCGCGAAAGCGUGGGGAGCAAAC